This 1089-nucleotide long non-coding RNA is filed under the name Brassica napus (rape). RNAcentral's name for it is "long non-coding RNA (BNAP_LNC006294)". Lineage: Eukaryota; Viridiplantae; Streptophyta; Magnoliopsida; Brassicales; Brassicaceae. The record is from RNAcentral.
UUUUUUUUUUUUUUCCGUCUGAUAAAAUUCAUUCGAAGCAACGAUUACAAUGUUUGAUACCUAAACUGGCGGAAAAACAAGAAAUCCCCAGCAACAAGAGCCUAAGAAACAGGCGACUGAAACCCACAUCGGGGUAGCUUACAAUACAAAUCCAAAAUAAGGAAAUUCAAAACCUCAUAGAGGAACUAACACCUUCAGCUUGCAACAUCUCGAUACAUCCAAACACUUCUGAACUCUGAACGAGAUUUAUCGUUGUCGCCCACGGCCCACCGAACGAUAACAUCAACUUCUACCAACAGAGAGCACUCCUCUCUAAACCAAAGAACCCAGACUUUAUAACCCGGCAAGAUAGAACCACUCUAGGGUCACGCACACUUCCGGAUACGGCGGUGACGCACUUCAUGCGACCAAACAACGCCUCAAUAAAAGCCCUACAAAGACCACUCCAAUCUCAACAGAUCUGGAGACCAACGAAGUCUAAACCCGCCAAAACCCACCGAAACAGAAAGAAAGCGGCAACAAGGACAGGAUAGCGUUCAAAUCACUACCAAGGAACCGAAAAAUUGCAAGCUUAGGAACCCACUAGUAAAGCCACGAACCUCCCUAUAAAGAAUAAACCAACAACACCAUUCCACUAGAUAGACCGAGCUGUGAAACUCACUACACCAAACUCCUUGGACACGAAAGAAGAGAUUUGGGUAAGACAAACUUGAACGGACACGCAAACCAGUGAAGGGUUUGUUCUAGAUCUAGACGAAACCAUGUGCAGCCAAAACCAACCACGGCCAUAGCCGCAUAAACAAAAUAAAGAACAAUGGCUUCAGCAUACAACGGGACUCACGGAAAAUCUGACAAACCAUUCCAAGCCACGAGCUCUCAAGACAAUCAACCCGAAAACUGGACAGAUCUAAACACAGAAAAGAACAACACCUAAAGGACGAGAAACUAUGAAGGAUUUGACCGGCGGUGGCGCUAACAGAGCCGCCACGCGCCGGUCACCGGAAAAGAUACAGGUCUUGACUUGUAGGGAGGAGCAGGGGCGGCUGUAUCUCUCUUCCUUUUCUCUCUGCAAAUGGGAAACUUUUUUUU